GGGGCGGUGGCGCAGUUGGGAGCGCGUUAGACUGAAGCUGCAAACUUCGGCCGUACUCUAUCACAGAGUAGUAAUCUAAAGGUCACCGGUUCGAUCCCGGUUCACCCCA
RNAcentral lists this transfer RNA (109 nucleotides) under Ceratocystis platani. It matches the Rfam family "tRNA". From Rfam's summary of the family: Transfer RNA (tRNA) molecules are approximately 80 nucleotides in length. Their secondary structure includes four short double-helical elements and three loops (D, anti-codon, and T loops). Lineage: Eukaryota; Fungi; Ascomycota; Sordariomycetes; Microascales; Ceratocystidaceae. The record is from Rfam by way of RNAcentral.